CUCAAAUUCAGCCUUAAGAAUAUACUCAACGGUCAGACUGUAAGAAAAGAUAGAUUAAGGAGGGCAUAAUCCUUGUUUGAAGUAGAGUGAAAAUUAAUUGCUAUGCAGUCUGAGACACAGAAAGGAACUUAUACCAAACAUUGGGGAACAAUGUCAGGUUCUGGAACAUUGCCAGUCUCUGAAAUUCCACUCUUCUAAAAGUUAAUGCAAAGCAGGGGGAUAGGAAGUCCACAAGAAGAGAAGAACAGCAUAAGAUCAUCCUGAGUCUGAGGACAAAACGGUGAAUUUGGGAAGCUAAUAUAAGGAGAAAAAAAGAAGCCAUUUUGGCAUCCAUCACUGGACACAGACAAGAGGUCAGAGCUCUUGGAAGCUGAGAAAGAUGGGGCUGUCCUCUGAGUGGGCUGAAGUCUCUGGGAACAAAAGAUUGGCUGUCUGCAAUGAUCACCCUCCAGGCCCUGUCUGAUACAGCACGGACUUGCAGGGUCUCACUGAAAAUGUCAUCCCGAGUCCUCUUCCUUCUCCUCCUUAUCUGGUUCAGGCGUUCCACAGGUGCGGAAGGGGAACCCCUCAGGGCUGCCAUAGCAGCAGCUGCAGAUAAAGCACACAGAUGUUAUAGUCAGGAUAGUCACAACAGAAAGUGAAACUUAAGAUUCAGAACUCCCCACUCUUGCUCCCAUAAAGUUUUAAACAAGACCAGCUCAUUGCACUUCUGCUUGGAAGUGCCUGUGCACGGUGCCACUCACAGCACCAGCCAUGAUGGUGAUGAUUUUAGCUGAUCUCACUCCUGAGGGUAACAAAGGCACAGAGAGAACAGCUGCUGCUGGUGUCCUGAAGCCACCCAGGCCUGUAUGCUGCUAGCCUGCGUACUGCAAUGGUGCCUGCUAAAGUUGUUGCUCACUAGAGCAGGAGAGUGUCCUACCGCCAAGGAAGAAAUAAGGCUGCCAUCCCUAGAAACCUCUGGGAGAGGAUUGCAGAGAACCUACAUGAAAGUUUCAUUGAGACCUCUCAGGAGGAUUCAAGGGACAUCCCUGUGCACAUAAACUAACUGCUCUGCAUGCCCACCCUUGCUUUACUCUACAGUGGAAUAAA
Long non-coding RNA from Mauremys reevesii (Reeves's turtle), 1089 nucleotides. RefSeq lists it as uncharacterized. Lineage: Eukaryota; Metazoa; Chordata; Testudines; Geoemydidae. The transcript is spliced from 5 exons. The record is from RefSeq and is a predicted model, not a curated record.